UGUCGGCGCUGAAUUAGAGAUCGGCGUUUGAUGUAUGACUAACCCUACUAUUGAGGAUUUUAAUAUGUCUCUAAGUACAGAAAAAAAAGCAGCUAUCGUUGCUGAAUUUGGUCGUGAUGCA
This is a non-coding RNA of Avibacterium paragallinarum, 121 nucleotides long. NCBI's taxonomy places the organism in Bacteria, Pseudomonadati, Pseudomonadota, Gammaproteobacteria, Pasteurellales, Pasteurellaceae. The record is from Rfam.